GUUUGACUUCCAUUUGUGAAGUUUAAAUGAGAUUCCUUAUGGUUGUUUUUAUGUUAACCCCUAGUAUGUGGCCUGCUGUAAACACCCAGGAUACCCAGGAAAUGGUCAUUGCUGUUUGAUUUUCCUGAUGCCCAGUCUCAAGGGGAAGCUGGGCCAAUGAGUACAGCCACUUGCCAUCAGGCUGUCCCUAUAGGAGUCACUGAAGGGGGCCCAGGGUGUGGUGAGGAGAGCCCCAGACACCAGGAGUAAGAGAAGAUCUAACUUGCCACCAGCUUGCUGGAUGACCACAGAAAAAUCACUUCUUCCUUUGGACCUCAGUUUCCUCCUCUGUGGAGGUCUGGAGCUCUACGAGAUUCAUCACCCAUGUCCUGGGCCUGAGGAGAGGGGACCAGUGAGCAUAUUAAGAGCUGCAUUGGUCAGCUGACUCCACUCUGUGACUGCAUCGCUCAGGGGACUUUUCCAUCUAUUUGUUCCUGCCCCUGGCAAGGCAGCAGGUGGCCAUUUGGAAGAAUGGCACAGGCCAUGGUUUUAAUCUCCUCUGCUCUUCUUCAGCGUUUUGUUUUUCUGAACCCACAUCUUCCUCCUACCCUGACUUUCUUGCUUCUCUCUAAGCCACUUCUGUCUUUCGCCCCCUGCCCUUGUUUUUCCCUUGUCACCUCCUGUAGAUUCAGGACAUUCUGAAGGUGCGGGUGUCCAACCUUAACCACUCCAAUGGGGUAGUGCUCCCCCAUUGGACAAGUGGAAGGUGAGGCAGUGCCAAGACCCCUCUCUGGCUGCUGUCUCCAGCUGUGCAUGGCCCUGAGGCUUCUCUGGUUUGGGGGAUACUUGGCCUCUGCCUUGUUUUAUGUUGCUGCCAUUAACCUUCAGCCUGUUUCUGUCUGCUUCUUCACCUGCUUGAUUGAUUGGGUUUUUUCCUUCCCCGCAUCUUUUAUCAUCUUGGAAAUGUUGAGACCUUAAAGUUUAAAAGUAAUUUGGGAAUAACAGACAGUGCAGGCAUGUGGGAUUUGGGGCUUUUUUUUUUUUUUUUUUUUUUUUUUGAGACAGAGUCUCACUCUGUCACCCAGACUGAAGUGCAGUGGUGUGAUCUCGGCUCACUACAACCUCUGCCUCCCAGGUUCAAGUGAUUCUCUUGCCUUAGCCUCCUGAGUAGCUGGGAUUACAGGCACCUGCCACCAUGCCCAGCUAAUCUUUGUAUUUUUAGAAGAGACGGGGUUUUACCACGUCGGCCAGCCUGGUGUUGAACUCCUGACCUCAAGUGAUCCACCCACCUCAGCCUCCUAAAGUGCUGGGAUUACAAGCAUGAGCCACCAUGCCCGGCCCUUGCUGUUUUUAUACUUUCUCUAUAUCCAUAACUGUUUCCUAUGUAAUCUUUUUUUGAAUUUCUCAUUUUUAUAACUCCUGCAUCAUCUGUUACCCUGAAGGAUCUGGAGGUAAGAGGCCCUGGGCCAAGGUGCAGUGACCCUGCAGGCCAGCCCUCCAACCUCCUUUCACAGCAGGGGCUGGGUGCCCCUCUGCCAGCUGAAACAGCCCGACAGCCCACACACACCCCAGCCCUAAUGAUUGUUCUCUCCACCUCUCCCCACAAUCCUCCUCCAACUCCUCCUCUCUGCAUGCGCCUCAGAGUCGGUACCAAGAACUGGAAGUAGCCCUGAACUCAAGCUCCGCAAUAAUCAAUCAACUAAAUGAAAACAUAGAAUCAUUGAAACAGCAGAAGAAACAAGUGGAACAUCAGCUGGAAGAAGUAACGUGAUUUCUUUGCUCACAACAUGACUGCUGGGUUUGGGGGGCACUCAGAUGUAGAGGCGCCAAUCUCGUCUCACCCACUCCCAGCCUGGGGAAGAAGGCUCACCCCUCAGAUUCCACCCCAUCCCCACAGGGUCCCUGAUAACCUGGUCCCAUGGGUGGGCCUGUCCUGGGGCAUUGGUGGCAUUCUGGGGGCAUGUCUCUUGCUAUGCCAUGUCUGCCUCCCUGUGGUAAGAGCCCUGUCUUCCUCUUCCUAUAGGAAAAGAAAGCAAAUAAGGAAAUACACAAAGCACAAACGGAGCAGUUAGAGACAAUCAACAUCCUCACGUUGGAAAAGGCAGACUUGAAGACCACCCUUUACCAUACUAAACGUGCUGCCCGACACUUCGAAGAAGAGUCCAAGGAUCUGGCUGGCUGCCUGCAAUACUCCUUACAGCAUAUUCAAGAAUCGGAGCGGGCUCUCUGUGCUGUGUCUACACAGCAGCAGGAAGAGGACAGGGUGAGUCCGACCAGCUGCCCCAUCCCCUGGCAGCCUGGCUUCCCAGAUGGAGGAGUGAGCCUAAAGGUUCCUUCUCCAGGAUGGAGUGUCCUGCCCAGAAGGCAGCAUGGUCAUUUCUCGCUGCUUUUGUGUAUGGUUGUUAGAGGCAGCCUGGGGCUGAGUCAGCUGCUGUGGCUAAUUUGGGGGGCACUGUUGGGAGUAAGCACUGGAUGCAGAGCUCAGAGGCC
RNAcentral lists this long non-coding RNA (2469 nucleotides) under Homo sapiens (human). Its description in RNAcentral is "non-protein coding lnc-CHRNA5-3:3". Lineage: Eukaryota; Metazoa; Chordata; Mammalia; Primates; Hominidae. The record is from RNAcentral.